This is a non-coding RNA of Sus scrofa (pig), 7539 nucleotides long. The record is from RefSeq and is a predicted model, not a curated record. NCBI's taxonomy places the organism in Eukaryota, Metazoa, Chordata, Mammalia, Artiodactyla, Suidae.
AAAGAUGAAACAAAGAGAUGUACUCUCAGAAAAAGAAUUUCUGAGUAUAUGGAUAGAGCAGAAAACAUAAAGAAAUACUUGGAUCAAGAAAAAGAAGCUUGUGUUUUGUAGCUGGAAAGUAUCACAAGCAAAUUAAAAUAGAAGAGAAUGCCACAGGUUUCAGUUACGAGUCACUUUUUCAAGAAUACCUGAGUGAAACAGUUACAGAAGUUUGGAUAGAAGACCCUUAUAUUAGACAUACUCAUCAGCUGUAUAACUUUCUUCGCUUUUGUGAGAUGCUUGUUAAGAGACCAUGUAAAGUAAAAACGAUUCAUCUUCUCACCUCUUCUGAGGAAGGCAUUGGGAAAGAGCAGCAAAGUAGUGGCCUGCAAGAAAUAAAAGAGUCACUCAGGAAUCAUGGAGUGCUGUUGGAUUUAGAAUAUUCUUCUUCAAUACAUGACCGAGAAAUUAGAUUCAACAAUGGAUGGAUGAUUAAAAUCGGAAGGGGACUUGAUUAUUUUAAGAAACCGCAGGGUCGUUUUUCCCUUGGAUAUUGUGAUUUUGAUUUAAGACCAUGUCAUGAAACAACUGUGGACAUAUUUCAUAACAAGCACACAAAAAAAAUAUGAUAGGUGGUAGCCUAAUUUAUAUUAUAUAUUUCUACUUUAAAUUAAUGCUGGAUUUUUAAUUUUUUUUACUUUGGACAGAUCAUUCCUAUAAUGUAUGAAUUUAACAAUAAACUUUUACAUUUCUACUAAUUUAUGGGUUCAUUGUUCAAAUACGACCAAUCCUAAGUAUUUUUUUUAUAAAUCUGUUACUCAUUAGAUUUAUAGUCUUUCAAAUCAUGUGGUUCAUUUAAACAUUUUAACAGAUUUUCUCUUAUUUGGCUGUUAGUGAAUCAGAACAUGAUGAGUACCUAUUAAGAAGAGGAAUUGGAUGCUUUAAUCUUGCCCCUGGGACAAUGUAGAAUCUAGGAGGAAAAAUCAUGGGUUAGAGUACUCUUACAAGGUAGAUGGGCUUAUGAGUCUAGUAACCAGAAAAAAUAACCGAUGUUACUUUUGUUACAAUUAAGUGUCUUUGGGAGACAUUUGUGGCAUUGACUUAUCCAGUAUUACCUAACUCCAUAAAGGCAGAUCAACCCAUUGAGUGAUACCAGAUGUGUUUUGCAGCUCAUUCAACUUUGACUGGUAUAUUUGUAAAGCUUUGAAGCCUGGAUCAACGUCCUGAGUAAGCGCAUGCAUUGAGAUGCCCAUGGAGUGGCUGGGGACAGACUAUGUUCUGUGGAGGUAGACUGGGAGGCGGGAUGCAGGUGGAGCUGAUGGGCGGUCCAGAAGCUUAAAGAAUAAACUAAGCCAGUGUCUGCAGUGGGGAAACAGAGUAACGCUGUUGGAACUGCACCUCUGAGCUUCACAUCUGGAGAAAACUGAAGAUUACAAUUGAGAUUCAACACUGUAGAGAAACAAAGGCAGUGAGGCCAUGGGCAUGAAGUUGGGCAGAGUAGCCCCAGUGGCCUUGAACACCAGGUUUAUGUUUUGCCUUUGUAGACUAGCAUGUGUAUGAUUGAGUGGGCAUAAAAGACCAGGAAGAGCUUCCAGAAAAACCCCUGAUGUAUUUCUUUUUCUUUCUUUCUUUUCUUUUCUUUCUUUUUUUUUUUUUUUUUUUUUUGUCUUUUGUCUUUUGUUUUUUUAGGGCUGCACUAGCAGCAUAUGGAUUUUCCCAGGCUAGGGGUCAAAUCUGAGCUGUAGCUGCCAGCCUACACUAUAGCCAUAGCAAUGCAGGAUCUUAGCUGUCUGCAACCUACACCACAACCACAGCAACACAGGAUCUUCAACUCACUGAGCAGGGCCAGGGAUCAAAUCCAUGUCCUCUUGGACAUUAACUACUGAGCCAUGAUGGGAACUCCUCUGAUGUAUUUCUUUGAUGUUUUCAGGUUUAGGUGCUAAUGUUGAACCUUAAAAUACUCAAACCAGUUUUGCCACCUUCAUUAUAUGGAAUAGUAAUUCCAUAUUCUUAGGGUCUCUGGAGAACACUUGGGCAAAUGCUGGACUUGAUUGCAAGUUACUUUCUGCAAAAUAUCCUGGCUUCUUUUGCCAGAUACUCAUCAUGUGGAAGUAGAGUGACUUUUCAGUCAGGUGAGAACACAUAUUAGACCUCCUUACUUUCAUGUUAAAAUAACCCUUAUUUCUAGAACAUAUGUACCUGUCACUAUAGAGAAUCAGCAGUCCACAGCCUUGUGAAAUUGACUUUUAUCCAGCUCUCAUAGAGAUCCUACCUAAGUUGGAGUUCCCAUCAUGGCUCAGCAGUGAUGAAUCUGACUACUAUCCAUGAGGACUCGAGUUUGAUCCCUGCCUUGCUCAGUGGGUUAAGGAUCUGGCAAUGCCAUGAGCUGUGGUGUAGGUCGCAGACACAGUGCAGAUCUGGCAUUGCUGUGGCUGUGGUGUAGCCCAGUGGUUCAACCCCUAGCCUGGAAACUUGCAUAUGCCACAGGUGAGGCCCUAAAAAGACAAAAAAGGAAAACAGACAAAAAAAAAAAAAAAAUCCUACCUAAGAAAUAAUCAUAUUUAAGGAAGAGAGCUGAUGGACAUGCUAUCCAUUAUUCUGGCUCUUUGAAGUUCUAUCCCCAAAUCCAAUUAGAUACCAGAAGGCUACCAGAGGCAAGUUUACUUAUUAAAUGUAUCAGUAAAUGUGCAAGAACUGUAUAAAAAAAAACUAAAAGCUUUAUGGAGGGAGUAAAAGAAAAUUAGGGUAACUGGAAAGACAAAUAAUAUUCCUGAAUGGGAGGGCUUGGUAAAAUGUCAGUUCUCCCUAAGUUAGUUUUUAAGUUAAAAUAACAAAAGAGAAUAACACUAGGAGACUUGCUUGACUAUCUAUAAAGACAUAAAUCUACAAGAUAUGUGUUUUUAAAUAUUUGGGCAUAGGAAUGGAAAAAUAAGUCAUUGGGAUACAGUGAGUCCAGAAACAUAUCAGAGAGAAAGAAAGCAUGUGUGUGAGCAUAUAAUAGAUAAUAAAGCUCACACUAGUGGGGAAUGAGUAGGCUAGUCAAUAACAUUACAUCUUUACCUUAUUCCACAUAGAGAAAUUUUUCUAGAUGGGUUUAAAUUUGGAAAUAUCCAAAUCCUUUUUUGGAAACCUCACUAAAUGUACUAAAUGUAACAGAAAACCUGGAAAUUAUAAAGGUAAGAAAGCAAAAAAUUUGGUCAUAUAAAUGUUUUAAAUUUAAGUAAAGGUAACCAUAAAAAAAAAAAAAAAGUUAAAAACAGGAGAUCAGGAGUUCUCGUCGUGGCUUAGUGGUUUAAGAACCCAACUAGUAUCCAUGAGGAUGUGGGUUUGCUCUCGGGCCUCCCCCAGUAGGUUAAAGAUCCGGCAUUGCCUCGAGCUGUGGCCUAGGUCACAGACCUUGGCUUGGAUCUGGCAUGGCCGUGACUGUGGCCUAGGCCAGCAGUUGCAGCUCUGAUUUGACCUCUAGCCUGGGAACUUCCAUAUGCCACAGGUGUGGCCCGAAAAAAGAAAAACCAUAGGAGAUCUGCUUUACAACAUGUAGAAAAAGGGUUAAUUGUCCUAACAUGCAAGGAAGAUCACAUUUUCAGCUAGUUCAUCCUCACUGCAGCCUUGGAGUAGUCUCUCCCCCUCCACUGCUCCAUUUUGCAGCACAUACAUCCCCAUCAAGAUACACACUAAUUUUUUUGUUCUUCAUGAACAAAUUUCUUGGGGUUCUCUACACAGUUUUCCCCCCAUUUCCUCAUCACCUAUUCACAAUUCAGCUCACUUCAACCCAGCUACAAUCACUCCAUGGAAAUUGCUCUCAUGAGUGAACUUCAUAGCCAAUGGACACUUUUUUUUUUUUCAUUUUUAGGGCCACACCUUCAUCACAUGGAAGUUCCCAGGCUAGGGACUGAGUCAGAGCUUUAGCUGCUGGCCUUUGCCACAGCCACAGCAACACCCUGUGUCUGUGACCUAUGUUGCACCAAGCAGCAACUUGGGAUCCUUAACCAGCUGAACAAGUGCAGGGAUCAAACAUGCAUCCUCAUGGAUGCUAGCUGGUUUGUAAUCCACUGAGCCACAAGGAGAACUCCUGCCAAGGGGCACCUUUUAACCAUGUUACUUGACCUUUUGGUAGUUAUUAGACCAAUUGGCCCCUCCCUUCUUGAAACUCAACUUCAUGUAAUACACUCUUUUCCUCUACCCUAUCUUUAAAACAUUGUGGAGUAUUCCAUGGAGUUCCCAUUGUGGCACAGUGGAAACAAAUCCAACUAAUAACCAUGAGGUUGUAAGUUCCAUCCCUGGCCUUGCUCAGUGGGUUAAGGAUCCAGUGUUGCUGGGAGGUUUGGUAUAGGUUGCUGGCUGCUAUAACUGAUUUGAUCCCUAGCCUGGGAACCUUCAUAUGCUGCAGGUGCAGCCCUAAAAAGCAAAGAAAAAAAAAUUGGCAUCUUCCUAAACUUGUUUUUAGUAAAAACUUAUGAGAGGUCUUCAGCUAUAAGAAUUACUCCUGUGGCCUGAUGAGUAGAUGCUAAUGUGGCUGCAGCUUUAGGAACUGGACCUGGUUGUGCAUACCUUAUAUGUUGGUCAGGGGAGGAAGCACCAUCAGGUGCAAGGAGAUGGAUAGGGCAAGAUAUGCCAGACCAGGACUCCACCUUCUCCCCUUUUUCAAGUGUGUUUUUCUCUUCUGGGUCCAGUACCUGGGUGGGUCAGGUUUGCCACAAGACAGCAGCAUCCUGGUGGAGAAUGAGUUUUUUCCCCCUUACCCAGGGGUGCAGAGUAACUCACUCAUCUUGGGGGGACAUCCCAUUGCUAACUCCCAUCCCAGGUGUGCUGGGGCCUGGUGUACUCAGCAGCAUCACAUGUAGAUCACAGUGAGAGUCAGGGCAAUGGCUGCCUCCUUCAAUCUACAUACUUUUAGUUUUUUCUUUUAAUUUUAAAAAUUAUGUUGAUUGACAAUGUUCUGACAAUUUCUGCUGUCCUUACCUUUACUCUUGGUAUUGGGUGUCUCAGCAGCAGGUCCUACUGGUUGAUCAUCUAACUGUUUUAAAGCCUGGGAUAGUACUUUAUUCCAUCUGGCCAAGGUUGUACCUGUUAGUAAUUCUGCUGCUUCAGAAUUUUCUUCUUCAUUUCUACGAGCUCUGCUGCUUGUAGCUUAUAGGAGGGACAGGUUAUAACUUCCAUCCCUGGCAUUGCUCAGUGGGUUAAGGAUCUAGUGUUGCUGCGAGGUUUGGUGUAGGUUGCUGGCAGCUGUAACUCUAACAGUGAGGAGAGUUCUUCAAAUGGAGUAAAGAGACUUGGGAGCUAAACACUUUAAAUUAAAAAAACCCCAAUUAUACAUUUUCAUGAUAUAAAAUGCAGUUUAUAUGCUGUCAGUAAAUACAUAAAUUAAGCCAAGACGUCUCCUUGGAAUUCUAAUCUCAAAUAUUCAGCUAUUUGGCAUUUCUUCUUGCAUCUCAGAAGCAUAUAAGCAUUGCAAAUACAACAUGCCCAAGUGAACUUUGGGUACACACCCCCCAUCGCUCUCCGCAACACCUUUUUUGCCUACAUAUGGCAAGUUUUAUACUAUGAUAUUUAUCCUUUACCUGAUAUUUUAUAUUCCAUUUUACUUCAUCUUUCAAAAACUGACUUUAUAACCUGUUAAUAGGUCAAGACUUGAGUUUUGUUUCGUUUAGUUUUCUUUUUGGCUGCACUGGAGCAUAUGGAGUUCCUGGGCCAGGGAUCGGAUCUGAGCCACAACUGUCACCUAAGCUGCAGCUGUGGCAGUGACAAUCCUUAACCCACUUUGCCUGGUCAGGGAUCAAAUCUUGCAUGUGACCAGAAUGUCCCAAGAAGCCUUGGUGAAGCUUUUAGCACUUCAGAAGUAUAAAGGCUACUACCACAAACCAUAUCAUUUAGGUGUUUAAUUCCCUAUCUUUGUAGUAUUGUAACUUUUAAGGAAUACAUCAUUUGUUUGAAUUUUUGUGGCAGGUAUUCUGAGGGAAGAUGGCAAAGGUGGUUGGAAACAAGCACACCUUAAAUACUCAACAUUAAGUCAGGAUACAAUAAGAUUCCAUUUCUGGGUUGAGGAACGUCAAAAACUUACCACAUGGGAAAAACAGACUUAAGAUUUGCAACCAUGCGGAGGAAUCUGAAGGACAUCCUGCCAAGGGAAAUAAGCCAGACAAAGACAAAAAUGGCCCAUUAGCACUUCCAGGUGACAUCUACAAGGAAAAAAGUCAGACUCCUAGAAACAGAGGUGGCUGCCAGGGGCAGGGGUUGAGGGACCUAAGAGGCCAGGAACAGGGUACAGAUGCUACCUAACCCAAGUCUGCUCUGUCUGCCGCACGACAGGCCCAUAAAUUCAGAGACGAGGUGUUGGGACCAGGAACAGCAACUUGAAGCGGGAAGCUGGCAGACCGACAAGAUGGCAGACUCGUGUCUCAAAAACCCAUCUGGCCUCAGUCCCAAUUCAGGCUCCGCUUCUCCAGAGGGAAGGGGGAGGGGGAGGGGCCCAUGGUCCCUCCCUGUCACUUGCUUGGAGGAAGGGCCCACCGCAAUGCCCACCAGUGGCUGAGCCAGGGCCAUGAGGACACUACCUAACGGUUGCUCCCUGACAGAGACCCCGUUAGGAAAGGAAGGUUUUGGGAUCCAAUGUACAACAGGAGCUGGUACCACUGUGUGGUAUCAUUGACAUCUGCUGAGGAACUACAACUUCUAUGUAAACAGGUGAGGUGAGAAAAGGAUGAGAUUGUGGACAGAGGAGAUGCUGACCCUUUAUGUAUGUGUCCCUGGGAACCAGCCACAUGCCUGGGAGAGGAUCAGACUUCCAAAGGCCAGGGAACAGGUGGGUUCAAGCCAAGAUCUCCAAGAGACCUGCGGAACCAUGAAAUACCUGGCUUUCAGGUGUCAUGAUCCAAACAUUGACUAAGGUCUCCAAGGCCCAAGAGGCUGGAAGGAGAGAGCUGAGGGGCUGGGUGGUGGGGGAGGGGCGCUGGCCCAGCCUCCUCCUCUCCUGUCCCCUCCCCCGCCCUCCAGAACCCUUGUGAGGUAGCUGCCGUUCUCUGAUAGGAGCCUGUGGCUCCAACUGCCAGGUCAUUCGCAAGGUUCAGUUACCUGAGGGUAACAGGGCUGCUAUUUCCUGUGACAGCCUUGCGAGGAGAUGAAGAAUCUCCACUCUUCUGGGAACCAUAUGGCUGCUCCUUGGUGGCGCCCCAGGCCCGCUUCCUGGGUAGGUGAAACCAUCCUCGCCUUGGUGUGUGGACUGGGGCUCUUCUUCCUAUUACGCCCCUACCUCACGAGUGAUCCGUCCUCACUACCACCUAGGACACAUGGGAGCAUCAGGAAGCAACAAAUGGAGCCACUGGGGAGGAGGAGGAGGAGGAGCAUGAGACAGAGCGCUUUGAAAGCCUGCAGAGACUGCCUGCAACAGCUGGGACGGGUUCGGGGCCUGAUGGCACGUCUGCAAAGCCACCUGCGCAGAGGCCCUGACAGGGGCCGCUUUCACCACCACUCACGUCCGGACCCCCUUGGCGAGGUGUGCCAAGCAGUGCCCGCUGGAGCCCAGCAGCCGUGCAGGGAGCCCACACAAGAGGCUCUUCCCAC